This 67-nucleotide transfer RNA is filed under the name Epicopeia hainesii. Its description in RNAcentral is "tRNA-Leu". Lineage: Eukaryota; Metazoa; Arthropoda; Insecta; Lepidoptera; Epicopeiidae. The record is from RNAcentral.
ACUAUUUUGGCAGAAAAGUGUCUUGGUUUUAGAAAUCAUAAAUAUAUAAAUUAUUAUAUAAAUAGUA